UUCCGGUUGAUCCUGCCGGACCUGACUGCUAUCGGAUUGAUACUAAGCCAUGCGAGUCAUUGUAGCAAUACAAGGCAGACGGCUCAGUAACGCGUAGUCAACCUACCCUAUGGACGGGAAUAAUCUCGGGAAACUGAGUAUAAUGCCCGAUAGAACACUAUACCUGGAAUGGUUUGUGUUCCAAAUGAUUUAUCGCCAUAGGAUGGGACUGCGGCCUAUCAGUUUGUUGGUGAGGUAAUGGCCCACCAAGACUAUUACAGGUACGGGCUCUGAGAGGAGUGGCCCGGAGAUGGGUACUGAGACACGGACCCAGGCCCUAUGGGGCGCAGCAGGCGAGAAAACUUUGCAAUGUGCGAAAGCACGACAAGGUUAAUCCGAGUGGUUUGUGCUAAACGAACCUUUUGUCAGUCCUAGAAACACUAACGAAUAAGGGGUGGGCAAGUUCUGGUGUCAGCCGCCGCGGUAAAACCAGCACCUCAAGUGGUCAGGAUGAUUAUUGGGCCUAAAGCAUCCGUAGCCGGCUCUGUAAGUUUUCGGUUAAAUCUGUACGCUUAACGUACAGGCUGCCGGGAAUACUGCAGAGCUAGGGAGUGGGAGAGGUAGACGGUACUCGGUAGGAAGGGGUAAAAUCCUUUGAUCUAUUGAUGACCACCUGUGGCGAAGGCGGUCUACCAGAACACGUCCGACGGUGAGGGAUGAAAGCUGGGGGAGCAAACCGGAUUAGAUACCCGGGUAGUCCCAGCUGUAAACUAUGCAAACUCAGUGAUGCAUUGACUUGUGGUCAAUGCAGUGCUGCAGGGAAGCCGUUAAGUUUGCCGCCUGGGAAGUACGUACGCAAGUAUGAAACUUUAAGGAAUUGGCGGGGGAGCACCACAAGGGGUGAAGCCUGCGGUUCAAUUGGACUCAACGCCGGUAAUC
RNAcentral lists this ribosomal RNA (918 nucleotides) under uncultured archaeon. Its description in RNAcentral is "bacterial SSU rRNA". It matches the Rfam family "Archaeal small subunit ribosomal RNA", at positions 1 to 926 of the family's 1478-position model. The record is from RNAcentral.